Molecule: ribosomal RNA, 253 nt
Filed under: uncultured prokaryote
Description: partial 16S ribosomal RNA
Rfam family: Bacterial small subunit ribosomal RNA
Source: RNAcentral
ACAGAGGGUGCGAGCGUUAAUCGGAAUUACUGGGCGUAAAGCGCACGUAGUCGGCUUUGCAAGUCGGGUGUGAAAGCCCCGGGCUCAACCUGGGAAUGGCGGUGGAUACUGGCGGACUAGAGUGCGGUAGAGGGUGGUGGAAUUCCCGGUGUAGCAGUGAAAUGCGUAGAUAUCGGGAGGAACACCAGUGGCGAAGGCGGCUCACUGGCCCGGUACUGACGCUGAGGUGCGAAAGCGUGGGGAGCAAACAGGA